GAUGAACGCUGGCGGCGUGCUUAACACAUGCAAGUCGAACGGAGUUUAUAUGAAACCUAGUGAUUAUAAACUUAGUGGCGGACGGGUGAGUAACGCGUGGGUAACCUGCCUUAUACCGGGGGACAACAGUUAGAAAUGACUGCUAAUACCGCAUAAGCGCACGGUAUCGCAUGAUACAGUGUGAAAAACUCCGGUGGUACAAGAUGGACCCGCGUCUGAUUAGCCAGUUGGCAGGGUAACGGCCUACCAAAGCAACGAUCAGUAGCCGACUUGAGAGAGUGAUCGGCCACAUUGGGACUGAGACACGGCCCAGACUCC
RNAcentral lists this ribosomal RNA (318 nucleotides) under uncultured Lachnospiraceae bacterium. RNAcentral's name for it is "bacterial SSU rRNA". It matches the Rfam family "Bacterial small subunit ribosomal RNA", at positions 28 to 339 of the family's 1533-position model. Lineage: Bacteria; Bacillati; Bacillota; Clostridia; Lachnospirales; Lachnospiraceae. The record is from RNAcentral.